UUCCAGACUCCUACGGGAGGCAGCAGUGGGGGAUAUUGCACAAUGGGGGGAACCCUGAUGCAGCGACGCCGCGUGGGUGAAGAAGCGCCUCGGCGCGUAAAGCCCUGUCAGCAGGGAAGAAAAUGACGGUACCUGAAGAAGAAGCCCCGGCUAACUACGUGCCAGCAGCCGCGGUAAUACGUAGGGGGCAAGCGUUAUCCGGAUUUACUGGGUGUAAAGGGGGCGCAGACGGCGAUGCAAGCCAGGAGUGAAAGCCCGGGGCCCAACCCCGGGCAUGCAUUGGAAACUGGCGGGCUGGAGUGCCGGAGAGGUAAGCGGAAUUCCUAGUGUAGCGGUGAAAUGCGUAGAUAUCAGGAGGAACACCGGCGGCGAAGGCGGCCUGCUGGACCGCGACUGACGUUGAGGCUCGAAAGCGUGGGGAGCGAACAGGAUUAGAUACCCCAGUAGU
Molecule: ribosomal RNA, 448 nt
Filed under: uncultured bacterium
Lineage: Bacteria
Description: partial 16S ribosomal RNA
Rfam family: Bacterial small subunit ribosomal RNA
Source: RNAcentral